GAUGAACGCUGGCGGCGUGCCUAACACAUUCAAGUCGAACGGAGUUAAAUAUCUUAAUCUUCGGAAGCGGAUGUUUGACUUAGUGGCGGACGGGUGAGUAACGCGUGAGUAACCUGCCCUUAUGAGUGGAAUAACACAGGGAAACUUGUGCUAAUACCGCAUGACAAGUAGAGAUCGCAUGUUCUUUACUUCAAAGAUUUAUCGCAUAAGGAUGGACUCGCGUCCGAUUAGAUAGUUGGCGGGGUAACGGCCCACCAAGUCGACGAUCGGUAGCCGGACUGAGAGGUUGAACGGCCACAUUGGAACUGAGAUACGGUCCAG
Molecule: ribosomal RNA, 321 nt
Filed under: uncultured bacterium
Lineage: Bacteria
Description: bacterial SSU rRNA
Rfam family: Bacterial small subunit ribosomal RNA
Source: RNAcentral